RNAcentral lists this ribosomal RNA (468 nucleotides) under uncultured bacterium. Its description in RNAcentral is "partial 16S ribosomal RNA". It matches the Rfam family "Bacterial small subunit ribosomal RNA", at positions 28 to 507 of the family's 1533-position model. The record is from RNAcentral.
GACGAACGCUGGCGGCGUGCUUAACACAUGCAAGUCGAACGGAAAGGCCCUGCUUUUGUGGGGUGCUCGAGUGGCGAACGGGUGAGUAACACGUGAGUAACCUGCCCUUGACUUUGGGAUAACUUUAGGAAAAUGGGGCUAAUACCGGAUAGGAGCUCCUGCUGCAUGGUGGGGGUUGGAAAGUUUCGGCGGUUGGGGAUGGACUCGCGGCUUAUCAGCUUGUUGGUGGGGUAGGGGCUUACCAAGCCUUUGACGGGUAGCCGGCCUGGGAGGGUGACCGGCCACAUUGGGACUGAGGUACGGCCCAGAAGCCUACGGGAGGCAGCAGGGGGGAAUAUUGCACAAUGGGCGGAAGCCUGAGGCAGAGACGCCGCGUGCGGGAUGACGGCCUUCGGGUUAUAAACCGCUUUCGCAUGUGACAAAGAGUGAGUGACGGUAAUGGGUAAAGAAGCACCGGCUAACUACGUG